Miniopterus natalensis is the source of this 2290-nucleotide non-coding RNA. NCBI's taxonomy places the organism in Eukaryota, Metazoa, Chordata, Mammalia, Chiroptera, Miniopteridae. The record is from RefSeq and is a predicted model, not a curated record.
AAGGUAAGGUAAGAGCUCUCUCUAAAGGGUACUUAAGAGUGCCCCAUUUUAUGUGUAAAACAGGCGCAAAUUUGCACCCUGCCGGGCCAAAGCAGUGAUUCUUUUUAAAAUCUUACUAUUAAAUACUGGAACGAAUUUGUCUCUCUCUUCGAUUUAUUUUUAGUUUAUCCUGUAUGGGCGAACUAACCAACCUUAAGUCUCCUACCCCUGCUUGAACAAACUAUUUUCUGUAGUUAUUACUCAUUCCUUCCCCUUCCGUACAACUUCCCUGCUCUGCACUGCCUAUAGCUGCCCACUUAAAAUAUUAAUAAUAAUGAAUAAUUUUUAAAUCUUCCCACCCUAUUCUGAUAAUAGGCGCUGUCACGCGGAACCGCUUAGCCUCAGCAUUCCGAGCUCCAGGAAGGGAGUUGAAUUGCAAGUCAGAUAGAAUUAUACAUAUAUCGUUUCUUUGAAACCUUCAGCACUCAAGGUCCAGCCAUCUCAAGGUCGAGCCAUCUCAAGGUCCGGACAUCAUGACCUCAGUUUUAGCACAAUUGUUGGUAGUCCUCAUCUCACUGCUUUUGGUGCUGCCUGUUGCUGAAGCAGUAGAAGCUGGAGAUGCAAUCGCUCUCUUUUUAGCUGUGGUUCUCUGCAUUACAGGUUUUUGUGCUUGUUUGGGGGUAUAUGCACGAAAGAGAAAUGGAGAGGUGUGACUUUGAAGGGCCUCCUGAAUCAAACCUUGCCCUGAAAAGCUCAGGUUAAAAACUGAGCUUUAAUGUCUGAAAGUUCCCAAGAAACAGUAAUAGGGUAAUUUUACAUAUAAAUGGGAAUAAACUGAUAUAUGUUAAAUGGAAAAAAAAAUUUUUUUCACAACAAAUAAUGCACUGAAAAAUGCAGUCUGUAAUUUAUUUACUAGUUAGAAAGGUCAAAGAAGAUGGCUAAAAUUUGCAUAAAUAAUAUUUAAUAAUCUCAGAAUUCUCAAAGCACAUGAAAUUAGAAGAAGGAAACUCUUGGCCGGAAUCCUAUGAAGCAGUCACUAUUCGGUUGUAAUUACUGCCUCCUGCAUUGUUGAGGAGUCUUUUCUCUAUAUUUUUAUUAGCUUUUUGUUUUGUAUCUCUCAACUUAGUAUUGUACUUGGAUAUUAGAUAUCAAAUAUAGUCAGUCAAAACCUAAAACUUUUAUUUCUUUGGAGGAAAAAAUGUAUUCAGUGUAUCUAACAUUGAAAUGGAGAACAGAUGUAAUGUAUAAAAAAUACUUUGUGUUGACAUUGAAAUAGAGAAGACAUUUAAUGUAAAAAUUAAAAGCCUUUAUACUGAGUAACAGCCCCGUGGUAAGAAAUACUGUAUUAAAGAUAAACCCAUUAUGUUAUAAGUAAAUAUAUGGUCUAUUUUUGUUUAUUUUAAGCUAUUAUUUUUCUUUAUGUGGACUUUUAUAAAAGCUAAGUGAGAAGAGCAGGAUGCUUUACCUUAAGUGGCCACACUAGCUUAUAGAGACACAAUUGGUGAACAAUGAGAAAUGGACAUAAUCAAGGUCCUUGGUAGAGAAUCCACAGAUACAGAAAGAAAACGUAGUGGCUUAUACUGAUUUACACACCAACUUGAUGAGACAUACCCUCUCUGACCUUGCUACUUAAAGUUUUCCCAAACCAGCAAUAUUACCUGGGGACUUGUUAUAAAUGCAGAAUCUCAGGCCUCAUCCAGAUCAGUUGGAUCAGAAUCUGCAUUUGUUUUAGAGUCCAGGAUAAUUUGUAUACACAUUUAAGUUUUAGAAGACUGAUCUAACCUGUUUGAUCAGUAAUCACCCAGUACACUUGAUAAAACUCAGAUUCCGAGGUCCAUCUCCCAGUUGUGUUGGAAUCAUUGUAGGUUGGAACCUGGGAUUCUAUGUUUAACAAGGGCACCCAGUGAUGCUUUUGAUUUUGUAGUUGCAACCAGCAUGGAAUUAUCUCAGUAAAUCAAACUAUUUUCGUUCUUACGGAAGCAUAUAGUCAAGUUUUUUCCUAAAAUAAUGCAUUAUCUAGUCUCUAGUUCUCCAGGUGACAUUGGGAGCCCUAAUUUUGGUCAGAAAACAGCAGCAACCUAAGAUUCCAUUUACAGUGCAUUUCUGUAGGUAUGAGCUGACCUGGCAAAUGAGGGAUUUGAUGGAGGGUACAAAGUGAGGGACAGACAUGCUAUAAAAACUGAAUGGAUCUGUUUUUGUCAUAGCUGUUUUGUUUUUUCACCAGAGAAAGCUCUAACAUUUUUUGUUCAAAUAAAUUGGCAGUUAUGCAUUGUGUAAUUAUAGAACUUAAUUUUACUUUUUUUUUUUUUUU